AGUGAACGCUGGCGGUAGGCCUAACACAUGCAAGUCGAACGGCAGCACAGGAGAGCUUGCUCUCUGGGUGGCGAGUGGCGGACGGGUGAGGAAUACAUCGGAAUCUACUUUUUCGUGGGGGAUAACGUAGGGAAACUUACGCUAAUACCGCAUACGACCUACGGGUGAAAGCAGGGGAUCUUCGGACCUUGCGCGAUUGAAUGGGCCGAUGAGGGAUUAGCUAGUUGGCGGGGUAAAGGCCCACCAAGGCGACGAUCCGUAGCUGGUCUGAGAGGAUGAUCAGCAACACUGGAACUGAGACACGGUCCAGACUCCUACGGGAGGCAGCAGUGGGGAAUAUUGGACAAUGGGCGCAAGCCUGAUCCAGCCAUACCGCGUGGGUGAAGAAGGCCUUCGGGUUGUAAAGCCCUUUUGUUGGGAAAGAAAUCCAGCUGGUUAAUACCCGGUUGGGAUGACGGUACCCAAAGAAUAAGCACCGGCUAACUUCGUGCCAGCCGCCGCUGUAC
This 506-nucleotide ribosomal RNA is filed under the name uncultured bacterium. RNAcentral's name for it is "partial 16S ribosomal RNA". It matches the Rfam family "Bacterial small subunit ribosomal RNA", at positions 29 to 523 of the family's 1533-position model. The record is from RNAcentral.